RNAcentral lists this long non-coding RNA (3232 nucleotides) under Aquilegia coerulea. Its description in RNAcentral is "long non-coding RNA (ACOE_LNC002008)". The record is from RNAcentral. Lineage: Eukaryota; Viridiplantae; Streptophyta; Magnoliopsida; Ranunculales; Ranunculaceae.
AAAACUGGCCUGAGAAGCCACAGGUUUUUAAUUAGCUUUAUCAUAAAAAAAAAUUAAAAAAAUAAGUGUAAAUUACAAGUAAAUAAAAGAAGUUCAAUCAAACAUCAAAAGAUAAAAAAAUAAAUAUAACACUAGCGUGGCGACAGGUAUAACUAGUAACAACAAUAACAUUGUCCAAAAACCAUAAUAUAUCAACAAAAAUUAGAUCUUUACAUAGUUUUUCUCAUCGAGAGGAGAAAUCCAGCCCUUACUUGUACUAAAAUGCAUGAGACGAUAGAACUCAAUCCUCCCACCCUCUUGACGGUUGGCAUCUUGUGUUUCAACAUCACCCGCAGCCUCACGAGCUUCAAAAUUUUAGUACAUAUAUGUUAAAGGCAGUUUCAAGUUAAAUUCCUUUCUACUGUCAAAUUUUAUUUUUUUUUGGCUUAAUUUCUAUCAUUCACACAAGCAAUAGACCAGCGACGCCAUUCAACAUGAAGCAUGCAAUUGUGUGCACAAAAUCAGAAAAAGGUGUGCAUAUGAGAUGACUACAAAAUGUCAGCAAGGAAACUGUCAGGGAAAACACCAAAUCAUCACUGUUAGAUCAGAUGGAACUAGUUAUACAACCAGACCAAAGAGAGGAAUCUGUUGUUUGCCUACUGUGAAUUAUUAUUAGCUCACCAUCAAGUGCAGCCCACAAACUAAUUCUUCUUUAAAAUGUCCCACUGCCAAGCUAACAAAAGAUUGGAAUAGUUCUCUAUUAAAACUAACAAUCUCCUGAUGAUAGCGGUCUAGUCUAUAACCUUACUGUCUAAAUGUUGGGUUCAAGUUGCAUGGAAAAAUGUUUGAACACUUGUAUAUGAUUUGGUCUAUACACACCAAAAUCUAUUAUUUUAUUCGAAAAAAUGAAAAUUUGUAAAGAAGAAAAAUGUUACUGUAAAAGAAAACUGUUUCAGCUUUGAUGAAUAAUUAACUCUUCAAACAAUAAGAAGCAGAAUUAAUGGAAAAAUGUAAACUACAUCUAUUAAAGUAAACGAGAAAACCUGUUGCUUUCCAAGGGCAUGUUCUAUCAAUGAAAAUUUAUGUAAACUACUUUAUCAAUGGAACCCGGGCACUAGUUCAUAGACUAAGACUGGAUAUUCAAUUAAAAAACUUUAUCAUAAAUGCCAUACCACUAAGUAAGAAUACAUGCUAACUAUCAAAAUAUCAAAUAGUGAUCACCUGGUAUUCUUCAGUUUCAAACCAAGUACACAUCUCAGUCCAUGCAUCCUAAGCAACAUGUUUUUGAGGUUCGGCCUUUCUUGUCAAUAUCAUCUCAGUCCAAGAAUCCCUGACAAAAGAGUUUCAGUUCUAAUAACAACAGGUAUGAAGCGCCAUACAAUAUGUCAACAUCUGAGGCAUAUAUAUGCUGCUGCUAUCAAUGAGCAGCCAACAAUGGAAUUAUUAACAGUUGCACUCUUACCUACCUUAAUACCUCUGAUGACUUUUUACUGACUUUGUAGUUACAUAUGAUAACGAGUUCCAAGCAGAUCAAAUACUUUGUCAGAGCUAUUAUAACCUCUAUUUCUUAUAUAUAGGCAAAAAUUUCUAGUAAAUAUAUUGUAUAUUGGGAAGACAUGUUCAGAACUAAGAAGCCUACUUCAUGAAUAAUAAUGCCCAAUGGGAUCCUAUCCAAUAUCCGUCUUGAAUCUUGACUUCUACUCCAUAAAAGAAAAUUUAUUUAUGAGUAUUAUAGCUUAAAAAUGAUAUAUGUAAUCCUGAUCAGCUAGCAAGAUGCAUCGUUAGGUUGGGACAGAAAUAAGAGCGAUCAAGUUAGUUGCACUCGCGAGACGCUUACAAGACACAGGACUACACAACAGCAGUCAACAGCAGCACACCCAUGUCUAUAUAGUCAUGUGGAUUUAAUAACUGACAAUAGAUACAAAACUUCGACAGGAUAACUACAGGUCCAAUUAUCUGGUUCACCCAUACAAACUGAUAUGUGCCGACAACACAUCUCCAAAGAUCGUAAAAUAGAAACCAACCAACAAUCGCCUAACAUUCCCCAAAACAAUAAAUAGUUAAGUUUCCAUCUGAAUACACGCCGCCAUUUUUUUGGGAACACAGUGGACUAGUGGAUGUAAUUAAACCAAAAUUUUCCAAAUGGAUGAACUUCUAGAUCUCAAUUAUAAUCAAUCUACAUUCAAUUUAAAUCAUAGUUAGUAAUCUAGACAUGGAUCAAAAUUAUUAUCAAACUACAUUCGAUUCACAACAAAUUUAGGAAUCUAGACAUGGAUACGAAGUUAAUCACAGUCUAAACUCAAUUUUACCAAAGAUCUACCAAUCAAUUUUUUAUUCCAAAACAAACCUUAGACAAAUGAGGUUUAACUAAAAACUCUCUAAUCAGAUAAACCCUCUUCUUUUCAAUAAAUUUGCUAUCGAUCUACAUUCCACUUCACAAAUAAAAAGGAACUAAACAUGCAAUCAAUCACAGAUUGAGUCAAAGAUUUCAGUUUUAUUAUCAAAGGUCUGUAAAUCAAUACAGAUUCCAUAUAAUUUUUAGUUAAUCCAAGCAUGCAUGCAUCUUAACCAUCAGAAAACUAUCACCUAAUGCAAAUAGUAAACUGCAGAUUUUUAACUGAAAACCAUAAUCAUAUAAAGAAACGCAUACCCGAUUCUUGUUUUCCACCAUUAGAAGCUUUGGGUUUCUCGGAUGCUGUAUUUGUACUUGGUACCUUAACAGCUGCAGAUUCCAUCUUCUCCAUUUAGAUGAUCGGAAAUCACAAAUAACAAAAAAGAUUACGAAAUAAAUAAAUAGAGAUGAAAAAAAUCUUCACUUUCUUUCUACAAGAAAAUGAAUAUUUCUUUCGACCUUGCUUUGAUGGCUUUGAACUUCCAAUGUUCUUGCUCUGAUUGUUUCAGCCGUGGAGAUUCAUGUAGCAAGCUAGAGUCUGUGAAAAGAGCUCAACUUAAUAUUAAUGCCAUAUUCCAAACUCAACUCAAAUCGAGGUUAUAAUUUAACUGUUUAAGUGUUUAGACAUGAAAAUAAAAGCAUUUAAGGCCAUAUUCGAAUUGUAAAUUUUCAUUAAAACAUGUUGUAAUUGACUAGAAAUUGAUCAGUGAAAUAAAAGAAAAAUACAAAAAUUCAGGUUAAUCCCAACAUAGAAAACAUACCGAUAUAUAAUAAUCUGGUAAAUCGCUGAUUCUGUAGAUAUGUUUCUCCUCAGUUUCUUCUUCCAUCUCCAUUAGUGUUUCUCCUCCUAGCGGCGUUGAG